GACGAACGCUGGCGGCGUGCUUAACACAUGCAAGUCGUACGGUAAGGCCCUUUCGGGGGUUCACGAGUGGCGAACGGGUGAGUAACACGUGAGUAACCUGCCCACAACUUUGGGAUAACGCUAGGAAACUGGUGCUAAUACUGGAUAUGUGCUCCUGCUGCAUGGUGGGGGUUGGAAAGCUCCGGCGGUUGUGGAUGGACUCGCGGCCUAUCAGCUUGUUGGUGGGAUAGUGGCCUACCAAGGCGGCGACGGGUAGCCGGCCUGAGAGGGUGACCGGCCACGUUGGGACUGAGAUACGGCCCAGACUCCUACGGGAGGCAGCAGUGGGGAAUAUUGCACAAUGGGCGCAAGCCUGAUGCAGCAACGCCGCGUGCAGGAUGACGGCCUUCGGGUUGUAAACCGCUUUCAGCAGGGACGAAGCUUUUUGUGACGGUACCUGCAGAAGAAGCACCGGCUAACUACGUG
Molecule: ribosomal RNA, 465 nt
Filed under: uncultured bacterium
Lineage: Bacteria
Description: partial 16S ribosomal RNA
Rfam family: Bacterial small subunit ribosomal RNA
Source: RNAcentral